GUAAGGACGAUGCACAAAUCCAGAUUGUCCUCUCUUUGUGGUUUGCUGCAGGUACCCAGCGUGCCAAUGCCCGGGCUCCAGCCCCUUACAAGCGGGAUUUCGAAGCCAAACUGAGGAACUUUUACAGGAAGUUAGAGACUAAAGGAUAUGGACAAGGCCCAGGGAAGUUAAAGUUAAUUAUCCGAAGAGAUCACUUACUAGAAGAUGCUUUUAAUCAGAUUAUGGGCUACUCCAGAAAAGACCUGCAGAGAAAUAAGCUGUAUGUCACCUUCGUC
This 275-nucleotide small RNA is filed under the name Pan troglodytes (chimpanzee). RNAcentral describes it as "retained intron". The record is from RNAcentral. Lineage: Eukaryota; Metazoa; Chordata; Mammalia; Primates; Hominidae.